This 180-nucleotide ribosomal RNA is filed under the name uncultured bacterium. Its description in RNAcentral is "partial 16S ribosomal RNA". It matches the Rfam family "Bacterial small subunit ribosomal RNA", at positions 305 to 508 of the family's 1533-position model. The record is from RNAcentral.
ACGACGCACUGAGACACGGUCCAGACUCCUACGGGAGGCAGCAGUGGGGAAUAUUGCACAAUGGGGGAAACCCUGAUGCAGCGACGCCGCGUGGAGGAAGAAGGUCUUCGGAUUGUAAACUCCUGUUGUUGAGGAAGAUAAUGACGGUACUCAACAAGGAAGUGACGGCUAACUACGUGC